AAGUAACAUCGGGGCACCCAAUAAUACCUCAUCAUUGACAAAUAGGGGCAUAGGACUGAGAUGACGUAGUAGUUUGGUUAUAGGAUGUAAAGUUUUUGCCUCCUAGGUCACCAGUUAGAAUCCAGCCCAAACUGAUACUCAUCAGAUAUUAUUGCCAUCAGGUGGCUACUCAUUGACCUGUGCAAAAUGCAUUUGUGAUAUCAGUCCAGUUCAGCUGGGAUAGGAGUUCAAACCAUGAAAGACAUUGGGUCUGACUCUCUGUUGUCCUGCACCCUGUGUGUAAUUGUUUAUACCAGCUGAGAGUAACUUGCAACCACACAACACCUCAUUAAUUUUGUAGCCUUCUUUGCACUGGUGUAAGUGACUGCACAAGAUGCAGGGCCACAGAAAGUCCAGCCCAGUGACACAAUUGUCUUCUUGUUGACAAUCUUCAAACAGAUGUCAAGGAUUAACUGAACCCCACAGACCCUACUCUUGUCUCCCUUGGAGGGAUGCUGGUCCUUUCAGGUAUGUUUGCCAUGAAGGAAAUUCUGCUUCCUGCCCUUCCGAUGGGAUUCGUGGUUACAAAUGCCCCAGUGGCUUCUACUGUCCCACUGGUACCAGACUGGAGAUACCGUGUGAGCCAGGCACUUUUAGCCCUAUGCCUGGAGCAAGCACCUGCCUCCCUUGCCCGGUUGGUAUGACCUGCAGGCAUGCUGCCACUGUGGAGCCAGUCAGCUGCCCCAGAGGUUACUAUUGUCCAGCUCGGACUGCAAUGCCUCUGCCAUGCCCUGAAGGUACCAUGAACACCCAGGAGGGGGCACUGUCCCCAGCUGCAUGCAAACUGUGUCCAGUGGGGAGGUACUGCAGGGGGGAUGCUAACUGGGAACCAGAUGGUAAGUUGUCCUGGUAGAUCCAGGGCCACCAGGCACUGGAAGUCC
This 920-nucleotide long non-coding RNA is filed under the name Gopherus agassizii (Agassiz's desert tortoise). Its description in RNAcentral is "lncRNA (ENSGAGG00000017173.1)". The record is from RNAcentral. Lineage: Eukaryota; Metazoa; Chordata; Testudines; Testudinidae.